AUGGAAAAUAAACUAUCCGUUCUUAACAGUCGUGAAGAAACUUCAACUUCUAAAUUCUUUAUAUAAUAGCACUCUUAGCCUUUUAAAUAAAUUAAACGGAAGACAUCCGCCCAAAUACCAAAGAAGUUCAGAUUCAAAUUCUGGUUGUGGUGAUAUUUUUCGCAAACCAAAUGCAGUAAAAGAGAAAGGAAGAUGAUUUAUUCCUCCAAAAUUCAUAAAACAAACAAAAUUCGACUAAUAUUACGGUAUGUACUAUAUUCGAUUUUGUCAUGCUCAUCAUUCAUAAUCCAGUCGUGAUUCUCUUCGACUAAUUUCUUCCAAUAAUCUGCAGAAUUAAUUCCUGAAUUGUACCAUCAGCACCGCCAUAUUCGAUUGGCAAGAUAUCUGCUGGAACAUCCUUAAAACAGCUCAGUGACAUGUGAUAGCAACUCUGCCACGCGUGUACUACAUUCAUAAAUAUAUGAGGUUGGCAUAGAGCUAUGUGCCGUACUGUUGGAUUGACCACGUCAACGUAUAUUGCGCAACCAUACACAGAUGCAGUAGUGUUAUUCUUCAUUGUUAGUUCUGCUAACAUUACACCGAUCUGAUGAAAUAAUCGUCCGUUGAGAAACAAUAAUAAAUAUUUUGCCAGGACGUCAGUCACAAACA
Long non-coding RNA from Wasmannia auropunctata (little fire ant), 648 nucleotides. RefSeq lists it as uncharacterized. NCBI's taxonomy places the organism in Eukaryota, Metazoa, Arthropoda, Insecta, Hymenoptera, Formicidae. The record is from RefSeq and is a predicted model, not a curated record. The transcript has 6 exons.